Molecule: long non-coding RNA, 2962 nt
Organism: Malania oleifera
Lineage: Eukaryota; Viridiplantae; Streptophyta; Magnoliopsida; Santalales; Ximeniaceae
Exons: 3
Source: RefSeq, a predicted model, not a curated record
CUCAGCAGCGACAUCGGAGACUGAGGCUUUGAGGUGGAUUCCAAUGGCAUGACUCUGUUUUUGAAGAACAGAUCCUAAACUUUUGAUUCUCCAAAACUUUGUUGUUUGCUACGUCUCUAUCACCUCAGGCGCUGUCGUAUUUGCCGAAGAAGAAGGAAGCAGGGGGAAUAUUCCGGUGGGACUCUGGGAGGUGUGUAAGCAGGUGAGAAAUUACUAUUUGUAAUUUCUCCAAAUCAAGGAUCACUUUGGUUUUCGAAACAAACAAACUGAUACAUUCUUGCCAAUUUUUUUUUUUUUUUAAAACCAGCUAUAAAAUGGAAUAUGGAGAAAUAACUCCCUAGGGAAUAAUUGAGAUAUAUUCUAAAUUGCAAACUGGUUUUGACAUUCAUGCAUGCCCUAUUGGUUCUUGCUUUCAAAGGGAACAACAAAACGCAAAGGCCUGCUGAUUCUUGUGAAUCUUAUUGAGCUGUUCUGUAUUCAUUUACUUUUUGGGGUACCAGCUUGGUGCACAUGUAUGUAAAAUUUUGUGAUAUCAAAUAUGCUCAUAGGUGUUUGCUGAAAUGACAGAGAGAGUCUUCUUGUAGAAAAAAUUGUUCUCUGUUUUGUCACUUGCAGAGCAGUUUUUUUUUGGUGUCAAUUUGAUCUGGCACCACUGCCCAGCACCUCCCUGUCACCACCGCCCCUGCCGCUGCCCACGACCAUAAGAAAGAAGCUCACUCUCAUCCCCCUCAUCUUUCUCACUCUUAUCCCCCUCACAUGCAACAACAAUGGGGUUUAUGGACUUUGCCGGCGAGAGUACUGACAUUGUCCCAAAAAUUGAGAUUAGAAAAGAGUAUUGAAGAGUAGAUUCCAAUAUUUUUUGACUCCUUUAUUGCCUGUGUGGAUAUGGAAUUUGGGGAUUGCAAUUAGGGACAUGAGGAUGAAGGAGCAGAGGGAGAUGAUGCCAAGGCAGACGGAGGUGUAGCCGACGACGGAGAGGCUGGUGUAGUUGAGGAAGGAGAGUGCGAGGGUGGGGAUGAGAAGGUCGAGGGUGCGGGUGAGGCCACCUGCGAAGAUGGGGAAGAGUUUUUAGAUCCAUCUUCAUCGUCAUCUCCAGCUAUCUCACCGACCUCAACAUUCUUAAUUCCGAGAUCGGCCGCUUCACCACCUCCACCUCCCUUGUCAGCGACGCCUGCGGGUGGUUCAUGGCCGCCAUCGUGCCCAACAUCCUCUCCGCCUUUAAGUUUUUUUGGACGUCUUGGGUAGAAGCUAGAAGAGGGAGAGUAAAGUGACAGAAAUAAGGUCGAUGAUUACUUGGGUCUCCGAUUCCCGCGGCAAAAUAGAGCUUGCUUCCGUGGGGGAGAGGGAAAAUACGUCCCCAUGCAAAUCUCGUUGGAUGGUCCAGCGAGAUUUGCUCGCCACGUAUCAAUCAACAGCCGUCCUCAUCAUUUAAAACUCGCUAGACCAUUCAGUGAGUUUUGGAACGCAUCAAAGUGGGUAAAAAAGUUCCCACCGAAUCGUUAUUUAAUAUUUUAUUAUAAUAAAAAAUUAAAAAAGGAAAAAACUCGUUAAAGUUAUGUUCUUGUUUGUUUCUCCAUUUUGAUAAUGUCCUCUAUUUCCAAGGUGACAUUGAGAGUGGCUUGAAGGAUCAUGGAAUGUAGCUUAUCAUGGUAAAUAAAUCAUUCAUUCUUUAAAUUUCUAUGGGCAUUUGUAUCAAAAUCAAGUGUCAAGAGUGGAGGAUACAUACUAUAAUAUGGAUAUUAGAGGCAACUUUUAGUGAUGGAGCAAAAGCACCACAGGACCAGUCUUGCAUGAUAUUUAUAGUUACAGGGGCAACAUGAUAUUUAUAGUGAAUGGCAUAGGUUUGUUACUACAUAGCACUACAAUUGGAUUUCACCGCAGGUUUUUUUUUGUAAGGAUUACUCAUAUGGUUGGUUAAGAAUCAAUAGAUUGUUGCUUGGCGAUCAAUCAAACUCGUGGACCAACUAAAUAGUCUUUUGUUCCUCUACUCUACAAAGGGGUUCAUGCGUAACUCGAGCAAGGCACUAAGACCAGUUUACACACUGCAUAGCACAAUAUUGGGCUUCAGCACACCAUGGCAUGGACAAAUGGAAGUUGGGGGGAUGGGGGGUGGUGGUGGGGGUCUAUAGGAGUGAGGAGGACUCAUCUUCCCUCAUGCAGACGAUGUGGAACAACUACCCACUGCCAGCGUUUCCAAAUGGCGAAUGCCCACUGAACAACCAAAUUGAAAUGCAAAAAUGGUUUUGUUUCGGUCUGGUUUUCAAGUUUUCUGAUAAUUUUUCUACACUCCUAUUCACUAAUUCAGCCAAAUGCGGUUACUCAAGGCUAAGAAUAAAAGCUGAAGGUCCCUUAGCCCAUCCUAUGAGCCCCGUGGGAAGAAUACACAUUUUAUACCAGUUUUAAGAAAGUCUAAAUAAAGUAAAAGCAUGAUAAGCCUCUGAAAUGCCUAUUCCUAUUAAAAUUUAAUUUGAUUGCAAAUUUUGGUUUCCAUUUAUUUGGAGUACUAUUUCAGAUUCUGUAUGAGGAUUUUCAAGCAUUAUCUAUAUGAUUUUGAAAAUGCUGGCUUUUGUAAACCAUACUGGAUGCAUUUACAGAUUCCUCACCUAAGACCUGGUGACUACAACCGGUCUAGGUUACUGCUAGGAGCUGAAGGGCUAUGAACUGAGCUUAUGUUCUUGUAUUGCCGUCAGGGAAAGGUUAAAGAGAGCCUUUUUGGUGGAAGAGCAUAAGAUGCCGAAGAAGGUUUAGGAGAUCCACAAAGCAAAGGAAAAGCAAGCCUUGAAAAGCUGAGAUAAUGAAAGUUUUUUGAGUUUUAACCUACAUUAUGAGCAAAUUUUUGCUGCGACUGACAAUAUUUCAUAGAAGAAGCGUUGAGAUGUGAGUUUUGAUUAUUGAUUUUUAUUUCUAUUUGGUUGGUUCAAAGCUCAGACUAUGAUUUAUUUACGUUCCUUGCAUUAUCAUC